UCAGGUCUCUACUCUGCUAAAGACAAAGAGAUGCUCACAGAGAAAUCUCAGGACUGACAAGUCAGUUCCUGCCACUGUCGAGAGUGACUUUUGGAAUUGGAAUACAUUAUGUGGAAAUACUUUCCUGCCGCUGCACUUUUGACCUGAGCUUUCCCAAUGAUAUGUCAGGACUGAUGUUUCCACUUGCCAGAAGUUCAAAAGCUUCUUCUCAAAACUGGCCUGUUAAUGUUUCCACUUGCCAGAGGGAGAAGCCACAGCCGAAUCCAACAUCCAGAUGGGAACACAUUCCUAUGAAAUAA
RNAcentral lists this long non-coding RNA (299 nucleotides) under Callithrix jacchus (white-tufted-ear marmoset). RNAcentral describes it as "lncRNA (ENSCJAG00000085282.1)". The record is from RNAcentral. Lineage: Eukaryota; Metazoa; Chordata; Mammalia; Primates; Cebidae.